This 240-nucleotide unclassified non-coding RNA is filed under the name soil metagenome. RNAcentral describes it as "partial contains 5.8S ribosomal RNA, internal transcribed spacer 2, and large subunit ribosomal RNA". The record is from RNAcentral.
AACGCACGAGACCUGCGGACCUGCGGAAGGAUCAUUAACAAAUUUGUUGAGUAUGUACAAUUGUGAACAGGCCAGAGUUUGUAUCUGAAGAAGCAUUUGUGUUGCUGAAUAAGCAAUUAUUUGUGUAGCUAAAUAUUUGUGUAGCUGAAUAUUGCGAAGCAGAUAAGCAAUUAUUUGUGUAGCUGAAUAUUUGUCUAGCUGAAUAAGCAAAUUCACUACAAAAUUUUGGCAGCUUUAUCA